UACGUAGGGGGCAAGCGUUGUCCGGAAUUAUUGGGCGUAAAGAGCGUGUAGGCGGUCCGGUAAGUCAGCUGUGAAAGUCAAGGGCUCAACCUCGGAACUGCCUUUGAUACUGCAAAUCUCGAGUCCGGAAGAGGUGAGUGGAAUUCCUAGUGUAGAGGUGAAAUUCGUAGAUAUUAGGAAGAACACCAGUGGCGAAGGCGGCUCACUGGUCCGGUACUGACGCUGAGGUGCGAAAGCGUGGGGAGCAAACAGG
RNAcentral lists this ribosomal RNA (253 nucleotides) under uncultured bacterium. RNAcentral's name for it is "partial 16S ribosomal RNA". It matches the Rfam family "Bacterial small subunit ribosomal RNA", at positions 524 to 776 of the family's 1533-position model. The record is from RNAcentral.